GCGCAGGCUCAACAAUCCUGCCCGCAGCUUGCGCGUGCCGCCCACCUGCUUUGGCUAACAACUCGCGGCCAUAUAAGCCCUGGCCACGCCUUCUCGUCUAUCCAAUUAAGCUAAUGUGGAAAGAAGCCGCCGGUGGCAGAGAGCGUUUGUGCGGGGAGUGGAGGCCGCUGAGCUCAAUUUCCGUAGUCAUCGUUGUCCCGUGCUCAGGGAGGGGUCACAUGGGUUCUAUCGCGGGCGGAGAUCGCUGGUGAUUGAUUCCCUGGGCGUGUAGGUCACCAGAGUUCGGGGAACUGCUCGCCGGAGCGCGACCGCUGUAGGAGAACAACAUCUCCCCGUGGUCAGGGCACUGCGAGGCACAAUCGUCGACGAGCUAGUGGCCGAGGAUUCUGGUGUUCAGCAGGUAGAAGUUGCUGAGCAGGAGCUCAUUGAAGGCAAGUUGUGCCCUUGACCACUUAUUUACCCAAUAAUGUUAUCUAUAAUUAUUUUAUCAUGGAUAGGCUUAAAUUUGAUGGGACCCAAUAGGCCACCCUAGUCUGGUUAUCUUUUCACCUUGUUUACCCUUGAAUUUUUGGGUAGUCUUUGCUAUUGCUAUAUAUGGUUUUGGGUGUUGAGAUAAUUAUUACACUUGAUCAUUCUUUAUUAUUGUUCUACUUCUGCUCAUGAUAAGACCACUAUGUUAAUUGGAACAUCGAACUUAACUUGAGAAACACGUGCCACCAUAGGGGUGGAAUGGGACGUCCUUGGCUGACUAACUAGGAAAGCUAGUGGAGGACUACUGUUGGGGACCUUCGGCAUUCGAAGGUCCUCAAAAACAGGAUUUAACAGUAUUUCUGGAAGUAUAAUGUGUGAGCAGGUACCUUCGAACUCAAGUUGGUAUCACGGCGGGAGAGGACCCGGAUAGUACGAAGGUCUUGAUACAACGCCGAAGAUGUCAGCAGGAAAGCUUCGGCGUGGUUGCAGGAAAUGAAACCGACUUAAAGAUGAAAAGGCUAUUCAGACCUCGAUAGAUUACUAUAGAAUUAUUGUCAAAUGUAAAGGGCAUGAAUGUAAUUUUGUAUGGGCUGCGUCCCGUGCCUAUAAAUAGGUGAACAGAACCCCCGUACUGUUCACGCUGACUUGGCAUUCGCUUUUUGCGUCACGCCUGUACUGUCAUCUUCUGAUUGAAGGUACUCUUGUAAUUUAACAAUGUUUUUGUUUAUGUCCGAUAACAAUAUAUAAUCCUUCAUGUUGCCUUUUA
Long non-coding RNA from Zea mays, 1237 nucleotides. RefSeq lists it as uncharacterized. The record is from RefSeq and is a predicted model, not a curated record. The transcript has 2 exons. Lineage: Eukaryota; Viridiplantae; Streptophyta; Magnoliopsida; Poales; Poaceae.